UAUCUCCUACAGUGUUCGACAGUGCGCUGGGUGUUUCCUGAACCUAUAUUACCCCCGGGGGUGAAUUCCGAUAAUGUGAGCAUGCCCGUCUCGACGGGAAGCCUGAUUUAUCGCCCGCAUCCCCACUUGAACCAUCGGUUCAAGGACGAAAGUGUAUAACGGCAUCGGUGGGAGAUAC
Molecule: non-coding RNA, 178 nt
Filed under: Crenothrix polyspora
Lineage: Bacteria; Pseudomonadati; Pseudomonadota; Gammaproteobacteria; Methylococcales; Crenotrichaceae
Description: 6S / SsrS RNA
Rfam family: 6S / SsrS RNA
About the family: E. coli 6S RNA was the first non coding RNA to be sequenced, but its function was unknown until recently.
Source: Rfam by way of RNAcentral